RNAcentral lists this long non-coding RNA (619 nucleotides) under Citrus sinensis (sweet orange). Its description in RNAcentral is "long non-coding RNA (CSIN_LNC001562)". The record is from RNAcentral. Lineage: Eukaryota; Viridiplantae; Streptophyta; Magnoliopsida; Sapindales; Rutaceae.
ACAACCUCAGGGUGAUAACCUGGAGACUUUAGUUCCUCGACACACAUCAGUGCUUCCUCCAAAACUCGGAUGUUGAAAUAUUCCUCCAGUAAUGAGAUUGUCUUUCUACGGAGUUCAUCCAGAUUCAACUUUCCAGCAGGGCGAAGUGGUUUCUCCACAACUGCAGGCACGGGGGAAGAAGUAACAGGUUUAGAAGGUAUAGGGAGUUGGGACGUAGGCUCUGGGCCUGGAAUAAAGUUGGAUGGUCGUGGAGGAGGGGUCCCACUGCCCUGCAACAGAGCACUCCUAGCACCCAUAGGACCACCAGUACCCUGAGGUAACAGCCUAGUGUUCAGUGAUGAAGACUUAUUAAUCAUUGGUGACUGCACACGUCCUCCAGGCUGCAUUCCUGAUCCAUCGCCCCUAGGAAUUGACCGCUGCCUAGGAAAUUCCCAAUUAUCAUUAUCUAUUCCAGGCAUCCCAGGCAUCUUUCUAGUUCCUGGCAUGCCAGGCAUCAUACCCCCCGAACCAGGUCGUGUAAUAGGCAUGCCACCCGGGCCAGUAACCCCUGGAGCCCCAGAGAUCAUGCCACGGCUAUUUCUAAUGCUUGCAGUAGCACCUGGACGCAACCCAAGAUUCU